RNAcentral lists this ribosomal RNA (840 nucleotides) under Salinimicrobium sp. DFM77. Its description in RNAcentral is "bacterial SSU rRNA". It matches the Rfam family "Bacterial small subunit ribosomal RNA", at positions 108 to 943 of the family's 1533-position model. The record is from RNAcentral. Lineage: Bacteria; Pseudomonadati; Bacteroidota; Flavobacteriia; Flavobacteriales; Flavobacteriaceae.
GCGUAACGCGUAUACAAUCUACCUUUUACAGGGGCAUAGCCCGGGGAAACCCGGAUUAAUAUCCCAUGGUAUCAUUUAGUGGCAUCACUUGAAUGAUUAAAGUUUCGGCGGUAAAAGAUGAGUAUGCGUCCUAUUAGCUAGAUGGUAAGGUAACGGCUUACCAUGGCUACGAUAGGUAGGGGUCCUGAGAGGGAGAUCCCCCACACUGGUACUGAGACACGGACCAGACUCCUACGGGAGGCAGCAGUGAGGAAUAUUGGACAAUGGGCGAGAGCCUGAUCCAGCCAUGCCGCGUGCAGGAAGACUGCCCUAUGGGUUGUAAACUGCUUUUAUACGGGAAGAAACACCUCUACGUGUAGAGGCUUGACGGUACCGUAUGAAUAAGGAUCGGCUAACUCCGUGCCAGCAGCCGCGGUAAUACGGAGGAUCCAAGCGUUAUCCGGAAUCAUUGGGUUUAAAGGGUCCGUAGGCGGGUGCGUAAGUCAGUGGUGAAAGUCUGCAGCUUAACUGUAGAACUGCCAUUGAUACUGCAUACCUUGAGUAAUUAUGAAGUGGUUAGAAUAUGUAGUGUAGCGGUGAAAUGCAUAGAUAUUACAUAGAAUACCGAUUGCGAAGGCAGAUCACUAAUAAUUUACUGACGCUGAUGGACGAAAGCGUAGGUAGCGAACAGGAUUAGAUACCCUGGUAGUCUACGCCGUAAACGAUGGUUACUAGCUGUUUGGCUCAAUUGANGGACUGAGUGNUAANCGAAAGUGAUAAGUAACCCACCUGGGGGAGUACGUUCGCAAGAAUGAAACUCAAAGGAAUUGACGGGGGCCCGCACAAGCGGUGGAGCAUGUG